RNAcentral lists this ribosomal RNA (253 nucleotides) under uncultured bacterium. RNAcentral's name for it is "partial 16S ribosomal RNA". It matches the Rfam family "Bacterial small subunit ribosomal RNA", at positions 524 to 776 of the family's 1533-position model. The record is from RNAcentral.
UACGGAGGGUGCAAGCGUUGUUCUGAAUCACUGGGCGUAAAGCGCGUGUAGGCGGCCUUCUUAGUCUGGUGUGAAAGCCCGGGGCUCACCCCCGGAAGUGCAUUGGAUACUGGAAGGCUGGAGUACCGGAGAGGAGGGUGGAAUUCCUGGUGUAGCGGUGAAAUGCGUAGAUAUCAGGAGGAACACCGGUGGCGAAGGCGGCCCUCUGGACGGAUACUGACGCUGAGACGCGACAGCGUGGGGAGCAAACAGG